This is a long non-coding RNA of Coregonus clupeaformis (lake whitefish), 176 nucleotides long. RefSeq lists it as uncharacterized. NCBI's taxonomy places the organism in Eukaryota, Metazoa, Chordata, Actinopteri, Salmoniformes, Salmonidae. The transcript is spliced from 3 exons. The record is from RefSeq and is a predicted model, not a curated record.
CAAUUAUAGGCCCAGCAGGGGAGGUAUUGGAAGAGCCCGUUAACAAGAAGGAGGCAAAGAGGAUUCUAGGAUCCCCCAGCGAACACAACUUAAGACACAGCAGGCUAGCAGUGGGGAGAAGCAGCAAGGCAGAGGUCCCUCCGUGGAGAAAUGCCGGGUGGAGAGGCUUGUCCAAG